Molecule: long non-coding RNA, 385 nt
Organism: Cyprinus carpio (common carp)
Lineage: Eukaryota; Metazoa; Chordata; Actinopteri; Cypriniformes; Cyprinidae
Source: Ensembl
UUUUGUAUUGCUCUAUAAAAUGAGAUAAUGAAAAUUCAGCAGAGAUCUCCUUCACAAUUAUUUUCUCUAAUCUUUCAGCUUAUUUGCUGCUAGCAGAGGCUGCCAAGGGCCCUGGAAGAUGAUGAAGAGGGACCAUGACUUACAAAACGACUCUUUGUCAUGUGGGGUGUUCUCACUAAUGUUUGCAGAAAUGAUCCUCCAGGGACAACAAGGGCACCUCCAAUGCCUCCCUAUCGCUCAAGAGCGGGAGAGACUUGGGACUUUGUUGUUCAACUCCCUUGAUACAAAGACUCUAAGAAGAAAAAAGGGAAAAAUCGCCAAGUCUAAAAAUACAGGUAAGAACAGCCACAGACUGGGACUAAUUUUAGGUGUAUUGAGAUUCUAG